UGAUGUCUGCUCAAUGAGUAAUUAAAUGGCCAUAGUAUUUAUGACUAUGCAAAGGUAGCAUAAUCAUUUGUCUUAUAAAUUAGGACUAGAAUGAAUGGAUAUAUGAAGCAUUUCUUUCUUAAAUCAAAAUUUAAAAAUAAUUUUUUUAGUGAAGAAACUAAGAUGANUAUGAGGGACGAGAAGACCCUAUUAAGCUUUAUGAAAUUCAUUUUGUUGGGGACANANAAGAAUAAAAUUUCUUUUNNANNUUNNUUUUAUAAAANAAGAUNUAUUAUUAAUGAUAAUAGAACAAGUUACUAUAGGGAUAACAGCAUAAUUUUUUUUAAAAGUUCUUAUUUACAAAAAAGUUUAUGACCUCGAUGUUGGAUUAAAAAUAUUAUAUAAUGUAGUUG
Molecule: ribosomal RNA, 392 nt
Filed under: Peripatidae sp. lineage B PSR-2017
Lineage: Eukaryota; Metazoa; Onychophora; Udeonychophora; Euonychophora; Peripatidae
Description: partial 16S ribosomal RNA
Source: RNAcentral